GUAUCCAUGGCUGAAUGGUAAAAGCACCCAACUCAUUAAUUGGGAAGUCGCGGGUUCAAUUCCUGCUGGAUGCA
This 74-nucleotide transfer RNA is filed under the name Juniperus pseudosabina. RNAcentral's name for it is "tRNA-Ile". It matches the Rfam family "tRNA". From Rfam's summary of the family: Transfer RNA (tRNA) molecules are approximately 80 nucleotides in length. The record is from RNAcentral. Lineage: Eukaryota; Viridiplantae; Streptophyta; Pinopsida; Cupressales; Cupressaceae.